GACGAACGCUGGCGGCGCGCUUAACACAUGCAAGUCGAACGGAAAGGCCUGCUUUCCCUUGUGGAUUGCGGGUACUCGAGUGGCGAACGGGUGAGUAACACGUGAGUGAUCUGCCCCCAACUUGGGUAUAAGCCUGGGAAACUGGGUCUAAUUCCCGAUAGGACUGCAGGGUGGUGCCUGUGGUGGAACACGAUUUUCUAGUGGUUGGGGUUGGGCUGGCGGCCUUUCAGCUUGUUGGUGGGGUAAUGGCCUACCAAGGCGGCGAGGGGUAGCCGGCCGGAGAGGGUGGACGGCCACAUUGGGACUGGGAUACGGCCCCGACUCCUACGGGAGGCAGCAGUGGGGAAUAUUGCACAAUGGGCGGAAGCCUGCUGCAGCGACGCCGUGUGGGGGAUGACGGGCUUCGGGUUGUAAACUCCUUUGGACCGAGAGGAAGCCACCUGGUUGGAAGGGUGGUGACGGUAGUGGUAGAAGAAGCACCGGCUAACUACGUG
This 494-nucleotide ribosomal RNA is filed under the name uncultured bacterium. RNAcentral's name for it is "partial 16S ribosomal RNA". It matches the Rfam family "Bacterial small subunit ribosomal RNA", at positions 28 to 507 of the family's 1533-position model. The record is from RNAcentral.